CAGUUCGGAUUGGAGUCUGCAACUCGACUCCAUGAAGCUGGAUUCGCUAGUAAUCGCGCAUCAGCCACGGCGCGGUGAAUACGUUCCCGGGCCUUGUACACACCGCCCGUCAAGCCAUGGAAGCCGGGGGGUGCCUGAAGUACGUGACCGCAAGGAGCGUCCUAGGGCAAAACCGAUGACUGGGGCUAAGUCGUAACAAGGUACC
RNAcentral lists this ribosomal RNA (205 nucleotides) under uncultured bacterium. RNAcentral's name for it is "partial 16S ribosomal RNA". It matches the Rfam family "Bacterial small subunit ribosomal RNA", at positions 1289 to 1500 of the family's 1533-position model. The record is from RNAcentral.